CCUACGGGUGGCAGCAGUGGGGAAUAUUGGACAAUGGGGGCAACCCUGAUCCAGCCAUGCCGCGUGUGUGAAGAAGGCCCUCGGGUUGUAAAGCACUUUCAGUGAGGAAGAACGCCUGGUGGUUAAUACCCAUCAGGAAAGACAUCACUCACAGAAGAAGCACCGGCUAACUCCGUGCCAGCAGCCGCGGUAAUACGGAGGGUGCGAGCGUUAAUCGGAAUUACUGGACGUAAAGCGCGCGUAGGUGGCUUGAUAAGCCGGUUGUGAAAGCCCCGGGCUCAACCUGGGAACGGCAUCCGGAACUGUCAAGCUAGAGUGCAGGAGAGGAAGGUAGAAUUCCCGGUGUAGCGGUGAAAUGCGUAGAGAUCGGGAGGAAUACCAGUGGCGAAGGCGGCCUUCUGGACUGACACUGACACUGAGGUGCGAAAGCGUGGGUAGCAAACAGGAUUAGAUACCCGAGUAGUC
Molecule: ribosomal RNA, 465 nt
Filed under: Vreelandella stevensii
Lineage: Bacteria; Pseudomonadati; Pseudomonadota; Gammaproteobacteria; Oceanospirillales; Halomonadaceae
Description: partial 16S ribosomal RNA
Rfam family: Bacterial small subunit ribosomal RNA
Source: RNAcentral